Molecule: ribosomal RNA, 484 nt
Filed under: uncultured bacterium
Lineage: Bacteria
Description: partial 16S ribosomal RNA
Rfam family: Bacterial small subunit ribosomal RNA
Source: RNAcentral
AUUGAACGCUGGCGGCAUGCUUUACACAUGCAAGUCGAACGGCAGCGCGGGCUUCUGCCUUCCGGCGAGUUGCGAACGGGUGAGUAAUUCAUCGGAACGUGCCCAGUAUUUGGGGAUAGCCCGACUAAAGCCGGAUUAAGACCGCAUACGACCUGAUUUUGAAAGCGGUGGUCCAAAAGGCCUCGCGCUAUUUGAGCUGCCGAUGUCGGAUUAGCUAGUUGGUUUGGUAAAGGCUUACCAAGGCGACGAUCCGUAGCUGCUCUGAGAGGACGACCGGCCACACUGGGACUGAGACACGGGCCAGACUCCUACGGGAGGCAGCAGUAGGGAAUCUUGGGCAAUGGGCGAAAGCCUGACGCAGCAAUGCCGCGUGAGGGAAGAAGGUCUUCGGAUCGUAAAACGCUGUUAUUAGGGAAGAAAAUAUGUGUGAUAAUCCGUGGAGGGCAUGACGGUACCGGAACAAAAAGCAACGGCUAACUACGUG